CAAUAGCGUAUAUUAAAGUUGUUGCAGUUAAAAAGCUCGUAGUUGGAUUUGUGGUGUACUUCGGCGGCCCGUCACUAUGUGAUGGAGCUUGCUGAAGUCGCCAUCCUUGGGUGGAUCCUGUGUGGCAUUAAGUUGUCGUGCAGGGGAUGCCCAUCGUUUACUGUGAAAAAAUUAGAGUGUUCGAAGCAGGCUUAUGCCGUUGAAUAUAUUAGCAUGGAAUAAUAAGAUAGGACCUUGGUACUAUUUUGUUGGUUUGCGCACCAAGGUAAUGAUUAAUAGGGACAGUUGGGGGUAUUCGUAUUUCAUUGUCAGAGGUGAAAUUCUUGGAUUUUUGAAAGACGAACUACUGCGAAAGCAUUUACCAAGGAUGUUUUCAUUA
Molecule: ribosomal RNA, 379 nt
Filed under: uncultured eukaryote
Lineage: Eukaryota
Description: partial 18S ribosomal RNA
Rfam family: Eukaryotic small subunit ribosomal RNA
Source: RNAcentral